AAUAGGAUUGAAUUGUGAAAGCUCUACUCCAGGUUCACUGCAGAUAUUGGAAGUAAGACAGCAUUUAUAUACUUAGCUCUGUGGGUGCAUGCUAUCUUCAUGCCAAAAAGUUGCUAGAAUUAUCUGACAAAGGAAAGAACCUGUGUAGCUGUAUGUUUUGCUCAGGUGGUGGGCAGAAGUAUGCAACUGAAGCUGAAUUCUGUCUCUCUCCAUGUAUUUGUCCCUGUUUAUUUGGGGACAGGUGCAUUUUACUUUUAAAUUGCAUGUAGUAAAGUCUUAUCUUCUAAAUUAAAGAGAUAUGCCUGUCCAUGUGUUAGGCUACCAAUAAAUAAAUUGGUUGAGGGAAGGAAGUUGGAAGAGAGAAAAGUGGAAAGAAAGGAAGGAGGUAAGGAAGAGAAGGAAUGAGGGAAGGAAAGAGGGAGGAAAGAAAUGAAGACCUCCCUGUAUGUGUGUGUGCUUCUGUGCACUAUCACAUGGAUUUACUACAAGCAAUGGCAUCUGAGGUUAUGGAGGAAGUGAAAUCUGUGGGGGACUCUGAGGCUUUGGGCUGUGGCAGGAAAGCAGGAAGUCUUCUUUGGUGCCAGAUCUCUUUGGACGUUUGCGGUGGGGAGGAAUGUGACUGUUCUUCCUCCGCAAGUGAGGGUAACAAAUGUGACCAUGAUGAUGGCAUAGCAACUCUGUUGCUUGCCAGUCAGCUCACGGUCCCUUGUAAGGCAGAUUACCUCUAAAGAGCUGCCAAAUUUCCUUUCGCUGGGCGCAUCAAUACAACAAACGCCAGAGAACCCUGUGCCACCUUCAUUUACUGUCUGCAUUGGGACUACUUGCUUUAUCUCCCUCCAGCAGCGAGUCCUCCCUCCUCUGUUCCUAUAUUUGAUGCGAUCAGCCUUAUGUUCCAUGGUCGUAUUUUUUCAAAGGGAGAGAGGGUGGAUCUCUACAUCGUGCGAUUCUCAGGAGGGAUUGUGGUUGCUCUCAUUUAGGGAGUGCCCUUUGUGCUGGGCUGUGGCUUGCAAAUGUGUGCAUUAUAAGGUGCCCGGAACUUGGAUGGGUAUAGUGAAUAUUAAAUGUAAAGAGUCUAGGUAUAUACUGGGCCUUGAUCAAUAUUUAUGGAAUUCAAAAUGUUUAAAUACUUAACUAUUUGCUUUUCUUUGUUAUUAUUAGUAUUAUUAUUAGUAGUAGUAUUACCACGCCUGGCUAAUUUUUGUAUUUUCAGUAGAGAUGGGGUUUCACCAUGUUGGCCAGGCUGGUCUCGAACUCCUGACCUCGUGAUCCACCUGCUUCAGCCUCCAAAAGUGCUGGGAUUACAGGCUUGAGCCACCAUGCCCCGCCUCUUUGUUCUUAAUUCUGUUUUCAUUUGUUCUCUAGCCAAGACCCCAAGUCUAUAAUGAUCAAGAGGGUUGUUUUAUUUUUGACAAGUGGAAACCCACAUGUUUCUGAAAAGUGGAGUGGUGGUGGUGGUGGUGGUGGUAGCAUAAUCUGGAAGACCCCUAAAGAAGGCAGUGCUACCUGCCAUAUUUGACUUGGGGGUCAGAGCGAGAGUCUGAGUUGGAGAGUUGGGAAGCUAGAAAAAUGAAGGACUAAAGUAAGAGAUAUUCCUUAUUUCUCCUUUUCCUUUUCCACAUAUCUUGAGAAAGAGAAAGGUUUUUAGUUCAGCAGAAAAUGGGAGAUGCUGGGGCAGAGAUAAAAAUGCUCCCCAAACAUGGCAGGGACUUCCUUGUAUUUCUCGUUCUCCUUGUAGUUAGGUUGAGCUAAAGGAGAUGCUACUAAUGAAAUUUGAAAUCUUAGGGUCAGACAUGUGGGAAUGCACUGCCUACCCUUCCAUCUUGGCAGUGACACGGGCUCAUUCCCCCCAGUUUCCAGAGCUGUGUCCUUUUCAUUCCUCUUUCCAAAUCCACCUCCACUCAAGCUUUCAAUCUGUGCCUGGGCUCUGGUUUGAAUGAGCCACUGAUAUAUUUGCAGCCACCGGGGAUCUGGAGUGCAGAUGCAAAUGGCAGUGUUCCCUGGUAAGUGUUGGUGACAAUUGGAUCUUUCUCUGAUUUGCAUUCCCAAGGCCUGCAGGUUUUCAGAAAAUCACAUCUUAUAGGCAGUUCUGGGGAGGGGGGAGGUUUAUUUUCAAUGUCAGCUACAAAUGCCGGCCCAUGAUAAUUCUUAGAAUGAAAGACCUCUCAUUUGCAAAGGAGAGGAUAGUUAGAGCCAGAACAAUUCACUUAGCAAAAAUUUGGGCCCAAAAAUAUAUAUAUAGGAGAAGGGAUUGUUGGUGGGUAGAGAGGCCUGGAGAUCAAGAGCAAGAGAUGAGAUAAACACAAGUUUGGAAGCCAUUGGCUUGUGAGGGGACCUGAGCACUUAGAAUAGAGGAGACCCCUCAGGGAGAGCUUGUAUGGAGAGAGAGAAAGGUGCAUCCUGACCCCAUCCUGGGCAUUUCUCUUUGAAACUCAGCCUUGUUAUAAUUCAUUUCUAAUUCUGAUAUCAGCAGUGAGGGUUCAUCUAAUCUAUUCUCAUCACUUCUUGAGCCUCUCAGCUCUCACUGGUCCUGGCUCUUGCCUGGAGAUGAUUUUACUCAAAAUUCUAGUCCAGGAUUUAGAAUUGGUCUAAGUACAGAUGUGCAUCAGGAGGCUAUUUCAAAAUCCCAGAUGAGCUCAUACAUAAAGUAAGGAUUAAUUUUUUAUUUUGUGAACCAAUUGUGUAAAAAAAAAAAAAAACAACAAUGCACAUUAGGAAAGUAAUUCAUUUAAUUUCCAUGACCCAGCCCCUCCUGCCUACAAGCCCCCCUCCCCCAUCCCAUGCAAUCCACCUCAUAGGUAAAAACAUAUUCUGGGCAAACUGACUCAUUUCAUGUCACAUUUAUCCCACUCAAGUUUGUCCCUCCUGCUUUGAGCCUGGAUUCCACGUAAAGGUGGAAGGUGAUUUGGGCUGGUCUCCAGGCAGUCACCACCUGCAACCUAUUUUCUUCUCAUCACGACACCUACGUUCAGUGUCACCUUUUCUUCUCCCUUGGGCUGCCCCUUUCUUGCUCACUCCCAUGUUCCAAUGCCAGCAGCUCUGUCUUUGUGCUCAGCCAUGCUUGUUGUUCAGCAGCAUUCCUCAUUAGAAUCCCAUUAUUUGAUGGUCAGAGUAGGGUCUCCAUGGUGAUACAGGCACAAGUGUAGCCAGUAUUCUGCCACCGCAUCUUACCUACUUGGCAGGCAAGCUAGAGUUGGCCUAAAUUCUGCUUUUAUCAUUUAUGUGUUUGUUCUUAUGCUUUUAGGAAAAAAAAAUCCUGAAAUAAUGGUGAAGGACAGCAAGUAUUUGCCUAGAGUGCAUGCUAAGAAGUCUCCAUAGAUGUUUUUCUUUAAGUAUCCUGACCGCUUAACAUAUUGAUGAAGACCUCUUAUUUCCAGGUCAACAAUCAGCUGUUACCAACUUAAGCUUUCUAAACAUUUUCUGUGAAACAAAUUUUUGCCAGUAAGAAAAGGAAAUUGGGAGCUGCCACUGCUUAAUUAAUUUGAAGCUUUGAUAAGCUUUGCCAGAGAGUCGCAUAAUAGAAUUAGCAAGUUUCUUAACAGGCUAAUGUCAGAUUCCACACCCACAUACCUAAAAGAGGAGCCAGCCUGUCAAGGUGGCCCAGUUACAAAAGAGAGCUUCCAAUCAGCCUUUCCAUUCAGGAGACCGUUCUACUGGAGAAUGAUACCUGCUUACCCAAAACAGCCUUUCCUUUUCCUUCAUGAAUUACUAAUCAAGGAUGAUCAGAAAUAGGAACAAAAUCCACAGCCUGAAAGAGAAAGACCAAGCUAAACACCAAGAGUGAAUUACCCCUGAAGAAAUAAAGAUCAAAGAAGACAAAAAAUUUAAGCUUGUGUCCUUAGAGGAGGCACAGAAGAUAUUGCCUCCAUAAAAUAAGAGAAGGAUGCUAUUAAAAAUAAACAAUUAAGAAAUGA
Homo sapiens (human) is the source of this 3911-nucleotide long non-coding RNA. RefSeq lists it as uncharacterized. The record is from RefSeq and is a predicted model, not a curated record. The transcript is spliced from 2 exons. NCBI's taxonomy places the organism in Eukaryota, Metazoa, Chordata, Mammalia, Primates, Hominidae.